GUGCCAGCAGCCGCGGUAAUACAGAGGUCCCAAGCGUUGUUCGGAUUUACUGGGCGUAAAGGGUGCGUAGGUGGCGGGGUAAGUCUGGUGUGAAAGCUCCGAGCUCAACUCGGAAAAGCAUUGGAAACUAUCCCGCUUGAGGGUCGGAGGGGAGACUGGAAUUCUCGGUGUAGCAGUGAAAUGCGUAGAUAUCGAGAGGAACACCAGUGGCGAAGGCGAGUCUCUGGACGACUCCUGACACUGAGGCACGAAAGCUAGGGGAGCAAACAGGAUUAGAAACCCUCGUAGUCC
RNAcentral lists this ribosomal RNA (291 nucleotides) under uncultured bacterium. RNAcentral describes it as "partial 16S ribosomal RNA". It matches the Rfam family "Bacterial small subunit ribosomal RNA", at positions 505 to 796 of the family's 1533-position model. The record is from RNAcentral.